AAAGCGUGCGCAGGCGGUUUUGUAAGUCUGUCGUGAAAGCCCCGGGCUUAACCUGGGAAUUGCGAUGGAGACUGCAAGGCUUGAAUCUGGCAGAGGGGGGUAGAAUUCCACGUGUAGCAGUGAAAUGCGUAGAGAUGUGGAGGAACACCGAUGGCGAAGGCAGCCCCCUGGGUCAAAACUGACGCUCAUGCACGAAAGCGUGGGGAGCAAACAGGAUUAGAUACCCUUGU
Molecule: ribosomal RNA, 230 nt
Filed under: uncultured bacterium
Lineage: Bacteria
Description: partial 16S ribosomal RNA
Rfam family: Bacterial small subunit ribosomal RNA
Source: RNAcentral